UGGGGAAUAUUGCACAAUGGGGGAAACCCUGAUGCAGCGACGCCGCGUGAGCGAAGAAGUAUUUCGGUAUGUAAAGCUCUAUCAGCAGGGAAGAAAAUGACGGUACCUGACUAAGAAGCCCCGGCUAACUACGUGCCAGCAGCCGCGGUAAUACGUAGGGGGCAAGCGUUAUCCGGAUUUACUGGGUGUAAAGGGAGCGUAGACGGCUCUGCAAGUCUGGAGUGAAAACCCGGGGCUCAACCCUGGGACUGCUUUGGAAACUGUGGAGCUUGAGUACCGGAGGGGUAAGCGGAAUUCCUAGUGUAGCGGUGAAAUGCGUAGAUAUUAGGAGGAACACCAGUGGCGAAGGCGGCUUACUGGACGGUAACUGACGUUGAGGCUCGAAAGCGUGGGGAGCAAACAGG
Molecule: ribosomal RNA, 404 nt
Filed under: uncultured bacterium
Lineage: Bacteria
Description: bacterial SSU rRNA
Rfam family: Bacterial small subunit ribosomal RNA
Source: RNAcentral